RNAcentral lists this long non-coding RNA (353 nucleotides) under Junco hyemalis (dark-eyed junco). RNAcentral's name for it is "lncRNA (ENSJHYG00000005655.1)". Lineage: Eukaryota; Metazoa; Chordata; Aves; Passeriformes; Passerellidae. The record is from RNAcentral.
UGUGUGUCAUGAAGAGAGCUCUCAGGGAAGGAGCUGCCUCUCUGCUGCUGUCCACAGAGCAGCCAGUGCAAUGAAACAGAAAAUAAGCAGAGUUAAAGCUGGAAGGACAGAUCCCCCAGAGCCACACCCUGUGUUCUCUUGGAGAAGGAAACUUUUAAGGUCAGUGCAGAAAAACUCACUCACCCCAAAUGGCCAAGGUCUAUAUCCUUGUAAUGCUAACAUAGGUACAAUUUAAUUUUGACAUGUUUAUAGAUUUAAAUGGUCACCAUGAAUUAUGAAAAGAAAGCUUUUUGCUCCACCUAAAGUAGCACCUUCACUUCUUCUGCAGAAAUAAAAGGAAAACGACUCUGACA